CCUACGGGUGGCAGCAGUGAGGAAUAUUGGUCAAUGGACGAGAGUCUGAACCAGCCAAGUAGCGUGAAGGAUGACUGUCCUAUGUGUCGUAAACUUCUUUUAUCAGGGAACAAAACGAGGCACGCGUGCCUUUUUGCAUGUACUUUAUGAAUAAGAAUCGGCUAACUCCGUGCCAGCAGCCGCGGUAAUACGGAGGAUCCGAGCGUUAUCCGGAUUUAUUGGGUUUAAAGGAUGCGUAGAUGGGUUGUUAAGUCAGUUGUGAAAGUUUGCGGCUCAACCGUAAAAUUGCAAUUGAAACUGGCAGUCGUGAGUACAGUGAGGGUAGUCGGAAUUCGUGGUGUAGCGGUGAAAUGCUUAGAUAUCACGAAGAACCCCGAUUGCGAAGGCAGCUUAC
This 394-nucleotide ribosomal RNA is filed under the name uncultured bacterium. Its description in RNAcentral is "partial 16S ribosomal RNA". It matches the Rfam family "Bacterial small subunit ribosomal RNA", at positions 338 to 729 of the family's 1533-position model. The record is from RNAcentral.